AAAUACCCCUAGGGUUAAAUUGACCUAAAUGCAUAUUUGACUGUUGUUAUUUACUGCAUGCCAUGUUAUUAUCUGAUGCAUGGGAUUGGGAUAUUGACGGAGGAAGUACUGAAAGUGGCUUGUCCACGUAUUGGAGGCUUUGCCUCAAUUUACUGUUAACUGAGCAGCAAGGCUGCAACUGUGGAGUGUUGGGCUGGGUGGG
Molecule: long non-coding RNA, 202 nt
Filed under: Gossypium barbadense (sea-island cotton)
Lineage: Eukaryota; Viridiplantae; Streptophyta; Magnoliopsida; Malvales; Malvaceae
Description: long non-coding RNA (GBAR_LNC000245)
Source: RNAcentral